Molecule: ribosomal RNA, 253 nt
Filed under: uncultured bacterium
Lineage: Bacteria
Description: partial 16S ribosomal RNA
Rfam family: Bacterial small subunit ribosomal RNA
Source: RNAcentral
GACGGGGGGGGCAAGCGUUCUUCGGAAUGACUGGGCGUAAAGCGCACGCAGGCGGUCUGCUAAGUUUGGUGUGACAGUUGGUGGCUUAACUGCCAAAGUGCUUCGAAAACUGACAGACUUGAGGGCUUCAGAGGGACACGGAAUUCCGGGUGGAGUGGUGAAAUGCGUAGAGAUCCGGAGGAACACCAAAGGCGAAGGCAGUGUCCUGGGGAGUACCUGACGCUCAGGUGCGAAAGCCAGGGGAGCGAACGGG